CAUCCAUCCCUCCCAAAUUCGAUGAAAUUUGCAAACGGUGGGUUCAAAAGGUGUUUGAAGCUAGCAACCUUAUUAGUGGAUUAGGAACCUGCCUGCAGUAUGUAUGGAUACAUUAUUAUUAUUAUUAUAGCAUAGGGGAGGGAGGAGGAAUACGGUUCAGCUCAAACAUGAACUGGCCAUUGCUUGGCGCUUCUCUCGCUCAAAAUGGAAAAACUGUUUCCCCAAGUUCAAAUGAGAAAUUUUCCAAACAUUAUGCAAAGUUAGUUCUGGAAACAUUACUAAAUCAACAUUUCUGCAUUUUGCAAAUAAAUAAUAAUAAUAAUCACACAUUCAAUAGUAGACUUGAAAAAAUUAUAUAUGAAACCUAACUAAGAGAAGAAUGGUACAACCACCAUGGACACACACAGAAGAAUACAACAAAUGUCUACCUCUAGUCUUCACCGCGGAAUUUGUGUAUAACCAUGUCCACAUGAGAAUGCAGAACAGGGAUUUUUACUUGCUGUCCUAGCUUAUUAGCUAUAACUUCUUCUUCCCUGUUAACAAAGUUUAACAAAAGUGCUCCUAAAUCUGAACGGAAAAGCAUA
Molecule: long non-coding RNA, 584 nt
Filed under: Panax ginseng (ginseng)
Lineage: Eukaryota; Viridiplantae; Streptophyta; Magnoliopsida; Apiales; Araliaceae
Description: long non-coding RNA (PGIN_LNC000873)
Source: RNAcentral